RNAcentral lists this ribosomal RNA (497 nucleotides) under uncultured bacterium. RNAcentral's name for it is "partial 16S ribosomal RNA". It matches the Rfam family "Bacterial small subunit ribosomal RNA", at positions 28 to 507 of the family's 1533-position model. The record is from RNAcentral.
GAUGAACGCUGGCGGCGUGCCUAAUACAUGCAAGUCGAGCGAACGGACGAGAAGCUUGCUUCUCUGAUGUUAGCGGCGGACGGGUGAGUAACACGUGGAUAACCUACCUAUAAGACUGGGAUAACUUCGGGAAACCGGAGCUAAUACCGGAUAAUAUUUUGAACCGCAUGGUUCAAAAGUGAAAGACGGUCUUGCUGUCACUUAUAGAUGGAUCCGCGCUGCAUUAGCUAGUUGGUAAGGUAACGGCUUACCAAGGCAACGAUGCAUAGCCGACCUGAGAGGGUGAUCGGCCACACUGGAACGGAGACACGGUCCAGACUCCUACGGGAGGCAGCAGAAGGGAAUCUUCCGCAAUGGGCGAAAGCCUGACGGAGCAACGCCGCGUGAGUUAUAAAGGUCUUCGGAUCGUAAAACUCUGUUAUUAGGGAAGAACAUAUGUGGAAGUAACUGUGCACAUCUUGACGGUACCUAAUCAGAAAGCCACGGCUAACUACGUG